This 27-nucleotide non-coding RNA is filed under the name Homo sapiens (human). The record is from RNAcentral. Lineage: Eukaryota; Metazoa; Chordata; Mammalia; Primates; Hominidae.
UCUGAGAUGAUGUUUGGUGAUGCUUGA